GUGAGUGGAGGUUCCGGUGUGCGUGGUGUCCUAGUGUCCCGAUUCCAGGAGGUCCGAACCGUGCCGAUUCCCAAAUAAACGGGCAGGGCACGCAUCGUCAUCCUCAGCGAAAAUAAGGGAAUUCAGAAAUAAAUCCGAAAGCCCCGUGAUUUCGUGGACUCACUGCCACGUGCUGAAUUUUAUUACGGAAGAUUGUGUGUGGUUGAGCAGUGCUCGGUGGCGAGCCUCUGCACUGUCUGCUGUUGCUGUCUAUUGUUGCUGUCUGUUGUUGCUGACGUUGCCUCCAUAGCAGGAGGUGUUUGGCACCGGCUGUCCCGCAGUGCCAGACGCUUGCUGCGCCCGACGGGUGCGAAGGGGGUUGAGCCGAGUGGUGAUAUUAGCGCGCUGAUCUUAGUCUAGUAUUUUUAGUCAGUACCAACCAAACGGCCCAACGACCCAUCCCUUAUUUUUUUCUUUUUAAAUAUUUGUGUCAACCACAAUAAAUAGUUAUCAAUUUAAAAAAA
Long non-coding RNA from Ostrinia nubilalis (European corn borer), 503 nucleotides. RefSeq lists it as uncharacterized. Lineage: Eukaryota; Metazoa; Arthropoda; Insecta; Lepidoptera; Crambidae. The transcript is spliced from 3 exons. The record is from RefSeq and is a predicted model, not a curated record.